RNAcentral lists this ribosomal RNA (766 nucleotides) under uncultured Bacilli bacterium. Its description in RNAcentral is "bacterial SSU rRNA". It matches the Rfam family "Bacterial small subunit ribosomal RNA", at positions 39 to 776 of the family's 1533-position model. The record is from RNAcentral. Lineage: Bacteria; Bacillati; Bacillota; Bacilli.
GCGGCGUGCCUAAUACAUGCAAGUCGAACGCUUCUUUCCUCCCGAGUGCUUGCACUCAACUGGAAAGAGGAGUGGCGGACGGGUGAGUAACACGUGGGUAACCUACCCAUCAGAGGGGGAUAACACUUGGAAACAGGUGCUAAUACCGCAUAACAGUUUAUGCCGCAUGGCAUAAGAGUGAAAGGCGCUUUCGGGUGUCGCUGAUGGAUGGACCCGCGGUGCAUUAGCCAGUUGGUGAGGUAACGGCUCACCAAGGCCACGAUGCAUAGCCGACCUGAGAGGGUGAUCGGCCACACUGGGACUGAGACACGGCCCAGACUCCUACGGGAGGCAGCAGUAGGGAAUCUUCGGCAAUGGACGAAAGUCUGACCGAGCAACGCCGCGUGAGUGAAGAAGGUUUUCGGAUCGUAAAACUCUGUUGUUAGAGAAGAACAAGGACGUUAGUAACUGAACGUCCCCUGACGGUAUCUAACCAGAAAGCCACGGCUAACUACGUGCCAGCAGCCGCGGUAAUACGUAGGUGGCAAGCGUUGUCCGGAUUUAUUGGGCGUAAAGCGAGCGCAGGCGGUUUCUUAAGUCUGAUAUGAAAGCCCCCGGCUCAACCGGGGAGGGUCAUUGGAAACUGGGAGACUUGAGUGCAGAAGAGGAGAGUGGAAUUCCAUGUGUAGCGGUGAAAUGCGUAGAUAUAUGGAGGAACACCAGUGGCGAAGGCGGCUCUCUGGUCUGUAACUGACGCUGAGGCUCGAAAGCGUGGGGAGCAAACAGG